GAUGAACGCUAGCGGCAGGCCUAAUACAUGCAAGCCGAACGGCAAGUCUUUUAGCAAUAGAAGACCUAGAGUGGCGUAAGGGUGCGUAACACGUAUGCAAUCUGCCCUCAACAGGAGGAUAGCUCCCCGAAAGGGGAAUUAAGCCUCCAUAGGAUCGUAAUGUGGCAUCACAUAGCGAUUAAACUACCAGGGGUUGAGGAUGAGCAUGCGCAUGAUUAGUUAGUUGGCGGGGUAACGGCCCACCAAGACGAUGAUCAUUAGGG
RNAcentral lists this ribosomal RNA (263 nucleotides) under uncultured bacterium. RNAcentral describes it as "partial 16S ribosomal RNA". It matches the Rfam family "Bacterial small subunit ribosomal RNA", at positions 28 to 288 of the family's 1533-position model. The record is from RNAcentral.